UACAGGGGGGGCAAGCGUUGUCCGGAAUUACUGGGCGUACAGCGCGCGCAGGCGGUCCACUACGUGCCGUGUGACAGACGUCGGCUUAACCGACGUAGGCCAGGGUACACGGGUGAACUUGAGGCAGAGAGAGGGAUGUGGAAUACCCGGUGGAGCGGUGAAAUGCGUAGAGAUCGGGUGGAACACCAGGGGCGAAGGCGGCAUCCUGGCUCUGUACUGACGCUGAGGCGCGAGAGCGUGGGGAGCAAACCGGAUUAGAAACCCGCGUAGUCC
This 273-nucleotide ribosomal RNA is filed under the name uncultured bacterium. RNAcentral's name for it is "partial 16S ribosomal RNA". It matches the Rfam family "Bacterial small subunit ribosomal RNA", at positions 524 to 796 of the family's 1533-position model. The record is from RNAcentral.